ACCAUCUAAACCUAUUUUUUGUGACCCUAAAAUACUAAAGGGACCUGUUGAGAUACCAUCUAAAGUCCAUGGGGCACCUGGAUGGCUCAGUUGAUUAAGCGUCAGACUCUUGAAUUCGGCUCAGGUCAUGACCGAGCCCCACCAUGGGCUCUGCCUUGACAGUACGCAGCCUGCUAAGAAUUGAAUUCUCUUUCUCCCUCUCUCUCUGCCCCUCCCCCUGCUUGCACUCUCUCAUUUUCUCUCUCCUCUCUCUCUCAAAAUAAGUAAAGAAACAAACUUGAAAAAAUAAAGUCCAAAGGUUAUGUGACAUGUCCUGAAUCUUCCCCUUUUCUUUAAAAUUGAAAAGUGAUAGUUAAUACUUAUUCCUUACUCUGUACCAGCCACUGUACUAAAUUCUUUACGUGGAUUAAGUACUUUAAUACUUACGACAACCUUAUAAUGAAAGUACUAUUGGUAGAUUUCUAUUUUACAGGUGGAAAAGUAGAGUUGAGAGAUACAGCAGUCCCCUCAUCCGCAGUUUCGCUUUCCGCAGUUUCGGUGCCGGCCUUGUAUCAACCGUAGUCUGAAAGCGGGUGAUUCUCGUGACGAAUCUUUGGAAGGUCAAUAGUAUCCUAACUCUACCUUACGUUGCCUAAGUCAUUUACCCCGCCUCGUCUUACCGCGUAGGCUUUUUAUCAUCUCACAUCCUCGCAAGGAGAAAGACAGUAUAAGAUACUUUGAGAAAGAGAGAUACCUCGUUCACGUCACUCUUAUUACAUGAAUUGUUACAAUUGUUCUAUUUUAUUUUGUUUUAAGUUUAUUUGAGAGAGAACGAGAGAGCACACGUGGGGGAGGGGCAGAGAGACCGGGAGAGAGAAUCUCAAGCAGGCUGCGUGCUGUCAGUGAAGCCCGACACAGGGCUCCAACUGAGGAACCCUGAGAUCAUGACCUGAGCCGAAAUGAAGAACUGGAUGCUUAACCGACUGAGCCACCCAGGAAACCUCAACUUCUCUGCAUCAAUUCAGCAUCAGAGAAUUCAAUUUAAAGAGGCCAGCAGAGUGUCUGGUAAGAUCAACAAAUGAACCAGCUCCAAACAAGGCGUUAAUGGCUGAUGUCAAGUCAGUGAGAGCAUGGAGAAGGGCUACCAUUUGUCUGCCAGUGUUUCUUCUUUCUGAGAUCUGCUGUCUUGGCUCUUGUGUGAUCAGGGCCAGUGUCCAGAGCAUAAGCCUUGAUCUCAGAAGGUGAACUAAAAUGGCGUGAUAUCUUCUUGUGGGAUUCAGAGAGUCUAAUCUUAGGCAUGGGCCAGUCUAAUCUUAGGCAUGGGCCUUAUUCCAGAAAACAGCUUUCCCUCCAUUGCACCCAGGGAAGCCAGAAAAAUCACCUUAUGAGAAAAAUGUAUCAAUACAGUAAUGAAUGAAGAUGUUCCUGAGCUAUUUAAAAUGCCAUGGUAAGUACAGAUUGUAAUUCUCAGAGGUUACUAUAAUUUUGGGUGGAUAAUCAAAAAAUUGUUUUAAACUUCAUCAGUUCUUAUGUUUUGUCAUUUGAGAACCUG
Molecule: long non-coding RNA, 1531 nt
Organism: Acinonyx jubatus (cheetah)
Lineage: Eukaryota; Metazoa; Chordata; Mammalia; Carnivora; Felidae
Exons: 5
Source: RefSeq, a predicted model, not a curated record